GAGCUGUGACGAAACUGUGUUUACUGUGAUGGAUAGGUUUAUCAAACUCGUCUGAACUUAUCAGACGAACUAUGAUACAACAGAGCUC
This 88-nucleotide small nucleolar RNA is filed under the name Vigna radiata var. radiata (mung bean). Its description in RNAcentral is "small nucleolar RNA snoR114". It matches the Rfam family "small nucleolar RNA snoR114". Lineage: Eukaryota; Viridiplantae; Streptophyta; Magnoliopsida; Fabales; Fabaceae. The record is from Rfam by way of RNAcentral.